This 403-nucleotide ribosomal RNA is filed under the name uncultured bacterium. Its description in RNAcentral is "bacterial SSU rRNA". It matches the Rfam family "Bacterial small subunit ribosomal RNA", at positions 355 to 775 of the family's 1533-position model. The record is from RNAcentral.
UGGGGAAUAUUGCACAAUGGGGGAAACCCUGAUGCAGCAACGCCGCGUGAGUGAUGACGGCCUUCGGGUUGUAAAGCUCUGUCUUCAGGGACGAUAAUGACGGUACCUGAGGAGGAAGCCACGGCUAACUACGUGCCAGCAGCCGCGGUAAUACGUAGGUGGCAAGCGUUGUCCGGAUUUACUGGGCGUAAAGGGAGCGUAGGCGGACUUUUAAGUGAGAUGUGAAAUACCCGGGCUCAACCUGGGUGCUGCAUUUCAAACUGGAAGUCUAGAGUGCAGGAGAGGAGAGUGGAAUUCCUAGUGUAGCGGUGAAAUGCGUAGAGAUUAGGAAGAACACCAGUGGCGAAGGCGACUCUCUGGACUGUAACUGACGCUGAGGCUCGAAAGCGUGGGGAGCAAACAG